CGGCGACGUCACUGGGGCGUUAGGGUCCUUGCAGCUGGGCAGUUUUCUCCUCAGCGUGUAGCCUGGUAACCACGACCUCUCCGCCAGGUCCUGUGUGUUGCUGGCUGGAGAAGGGUAGUUGAAAACUCAGACCAAGCACAGUGUUUAUUUUGGUCAAAACUAGAAGACUAUGUCCAGGCGCGGCCGAGGCUGAAGGAUCCCUUCAGGCCAAGAGCAACCUAGCAAUAUGGCGCGACCGGAUCUCUGUAGUCCUGCCUCAGCCCCCCAGCUACUUGAACCCGAAAGUUCGAGGCUCCAAUGAGCUAUGAUCCCACCACAGCAUUGCAGCCUGCCAGACUGAGACAUGAACUUAUGAAUUCAACACAUGAAGACUUACAACUUGAUAAACCAGCUUUAGGAGAUUUUGAAAACUUGUAUUCCUGUGAUUUCGAUAGUGAAGGAAGUAUGGUAUACCAGAAUCACUAAAUUAUGAAAGAUGGUGGAUCAGCUUUUUGCAAAAAAAUCUGCUGAAGCCUUGGGGAGCACUGAAGCCAAGGCGGUACCAUACCAAAAAUUUGAAACACAUGUGAAUGAGCUGAAUGUGGAAGGACUACUGGAAAACAUUCCUUUUAGAAGCCCCUCAUUACAUGGAAUCCCAAGGCUCGAAAACAUCUUUCAAGUGGGCAAUCGAAUUAAGUUUGUUAUUAAGAGGUAAGAUGAUAAUCUGCAGAAACAAAUCCAUUGUCUUCCCUAAGGAAAAAUUAAUUUGACCAAGAUGGGCCUUUUGUUCCCCUCUCAUCAUGACUUCUUUAUUUUAAAAUUAACAUUUAGAUUCAUUUAUUGAACAAACAUUUAUUUAGUAUAAGCAUCAGAUGUGCAAAACUGGUUCUAGCAAGAACCCUGUCCUUGGGAGGCUUAAUACUCAGAAAAAUGCAAUGAAGAGUUAUUGAGCAUUUUUUGGGGAGAAGGCAAGGAUGGCACACCCAGAUCAGUCACUUGUGCAUCCAGAAGGGAGGCAGUGUGUUUCAAAUAUGAGUAAAGGCAGAGAGGAGUCAAAUAUGCUCACAUAUUCACAUACAUUACCCAUUCUGUGUGGAGUGAGGAGUGCCAUGUGGGCGUGGUGGGAUUGCCUAGAUAGACUUUUGUGGCCAAAUGGAGGAAGGCCUUGGCUCCUACAAAAGCAGUGGCAGUCAUUAAAUGGUCUCAUAGCAGUUUCCUCUUAAAAUAAUUUGGAUCUGCCCUUUAGAAAAGUUAUUCUGGCUUGAUUUUGAAGGGUAACACAUGAGUAGUUUGAGUGUUGGGGGGUAGGAACAGAAAGCCUCUCUCUACUCAUGGAAGGAAUGUUGAAGUGGGUAGAGUCUUGCUUACUGAUUGAAGUUGUGCAUCUGUGUAUAUUCGUUGGGACUGAGUUAUAACGGAGAGGAAAGUUUUAAGAUGAUACAGCAAGCUGCUUCUGGCUGUGCUGUGGGACAGUUCAUCUAAGAUUCAGAAAUAUAAUUGGGCUGGUUCGGGGGAAAAGUGACUUUUGCAUAUUUAUCUUACAAAAAAGAUGACUUUGGAGACAUCCAGGUGGUCUCACCUGAAUGUCUGAAAAUUGCUAUUUUCAAAAUUCAAGUCACCAAAAUGAUUUUUUUCACUGUAAAAUGAAGGCAGAAUGGAUUAUGUUUAAAAAUUGGCUGGGCGCAGUGGCUCAUGCUUGUAAUCCCAGCACUUUGGGAGGCUCAGGCGGGUGGAUUACCUGAGGCCAGGAGUUCAAGACCAGUCUGGCCAACAUGGCAAAACCCUGUGUCUACUAAAAGUACAAAAAUCAGCCAGGUGUGGUAGUGUGAACUUGCGGUCCCAGCUACUCGGGAGUCUGAGGCGGGAGAAUAGCUUGAACCUGGGAGGCGGAG
RNA transcript from Symphalangus syndactylus (siamang), 1871 nucleotides. It is a transcript of the gene named general transcription factor II-I-like, with no coding region annotated. The record is from RefSeq and is a predicted model, not a curated record. NCBI's taxonomy places the organism in Eukaryota, Metazoa, Chordata, Mammalia, Primates, Hylobatidae.